GGGAUUAAUUCUGUCAAAUUUGGAUUAUGAACUAUUACUUCCUCUGUAGGUACUAGCUUGUGCCUUGACCUGUGUCUUAGAAAAUUAUCAGUACCCAAAGCUUUCGCGAAGCCAUCUGCAUACUUUAAUUUUGAUGGUAUGUAUUCUACUUUUAAGAUUCCUUUGCUUAUCAAUUCUCUUACAAAGUAGUAACUUAUUUCUAUGUGUCUUGAUCUAGAGGUGAUUGUUGGAUUUUUAGUCAUGAAUAUUGCUGAUUUACUAUCACAUAAUAGUCUUGGAGGAUUCUUCAAUUUUAUUUCCAAUUCUCUUAGAAGAUAACAGUACCAUCUUAACUCUGAGGUGACAUGAGCCAUGGCUUUGAACUCUGCCUCUGUACUUGAAUUAGAGACAGCUGGUUGUUUCUUUGCAGACCAUGAAAGUAAAUUUCCCCAUACCAAAUACUAGAGCCUGUGAUGGAUCUUCUAUCAUAUGUUCCUCUCCAAUCAGAAUCUGUGUAGGCUGCUAAAUCUGGAAAUGCUUCUGAGUUUCUUGUAAUUCUCAAGCCCAAGUAUUCAGUUCCUCUUAAGUAUCUGAAUAUCCUUUUUAUUGCAUUUAAAUGACCCUCUUUAUGAUUUUGGAAAAAUUGACACACUUGAUUAAUAGGGAAUGACAAGUCUAGUCUGAUCAGUGUUAGAUAUUGCAGACUUCCUACCAUACUUCUGUAGCCUGUGAUAUCUUUCACAUCUUCCCCCAUAUCUGCUUGUAACUUCGUAGAUAGUGUUAUGGGAGUCCUUACUGGAUUAGACAGAUGAUAUCCUACUUUUUUAAUAUCUCUUGUGUAUAAUUUUGUUGUGAAAGUACCAUAUUUUCUCCUUGGUAUAUGCAUUCAAUGCCUAGAAAGAAACUGAGUUUCCCCAUAUCUCUACAUUGAAAGGUGGUACAAAUAUUUUUUAUGAAUUCUGAUAUCUUUUGCAUAUAUGUUCCUGUCACAAUUAUAUCAUCAACAUAUAUUAAGACCAUCAAUUUUGAUUCACCUGAAUUUUUGUAAAAAAGAGAGGCAUCUGCAUUUGAAUUCUUAAAUUCUUGAGAUAUAAGUUGCUCCUGUAAUCUGAGGUACCAAGCUCUAGGAGCUUGCUUGAGGCCAUACAAGGCUUUCUGUAGUAGGCACACAUCUUGGGGUCUUGUCUCAUCUUCAAAGCCCUUAGGCUGCUUCAUAUAGACUGUCUCCUGUAAAUACCCAUUUAAAAAUGCAUUCUUGAUGUCCAAUUGCCUUAAUGUCCAUCCAUGACUGACUGCUAAUGAUAAUAUGGUUCUUAUUGUUGAAAUUUUAACCACUGGGCUAUAGGUAUACUGAAAGUCUAUUCCUUCCUCUUGGUUGCAUCCUUGAGCAACCAACCUUGCUUUGUAUCUUUCUAUUGUUCCAUCUGAUUUCCUCUUUAUCUUAUACACCCACCUAGAGCCAAUUAUGUUCAUGUAAUUUUCCUUCUUUACUAGAGUCCAGGUAUUAUUUUCUUUUAUAGCUUUUAUUUCUUCUUCCAUGGCUUUCCUCCAGCAUUCAUACUUAUUAGCUUGUGAAAAAAAUUGAGGCUCACAACAUUCAUUAGAAACAUAUGUAUUACAGACAAAAUCUUUAUAUUUAGUGGAUGGAAUUUUUAAUCUAUGUGAUCUUCCCAAUUCUGACGAAAUGUUCUGUCAUGAUGGUCAGAACCAGAUGGGUUAUGACUUGUAUUUAAGUCCAAGUCUGCCCUGCUCUCAGAAUUUACAAUAGAAAUCGGUUGUAUGUUAUGUUGAACAUCAGAACUUUGAUUAAUAGUAUCUGUAUUAGUAGAUAUACUUUGUUCAGAUUGAUUUGUGUUAGAAAGUUGAUCAGGAGGAUCCCUUUCUAAGCUUUCACUGUCUAUAAUCAUCUGUUGAUUGGAUGAUUCAAUGACUUGUGGGACUGGAGCUGGAAUUUGUUUUUGUGAUAUUGUUAGAAAGUCUAAGGGUUUUCUUUUUUGAUUUUGGGUUUCUACAUUCCUUGAUGGAAUAUCAAGGAAAGGGAAAGACACUUCAUCGAAAAUUACAUCUCUACAUAUUCUUAUAUCUCUGGUUUCUAUGUCCAAGCACCUGUAGCCUUUCUGUUGUGUAGCAUAACCCAAGAAGACACAUGCCUUUGAUUUUGGCAUCAAUUUAUUCCUUCCAAUUCUUGGUAAUAAAGGAAAGCAUUUGCAUCCAAUUGUCUUUAAUUCACUGUAAUCAGGUAUUUUAUUUAGUAACACCUCAUAUGGACUUUUGUUCUCCAAUGUUGGUGUCUUGAUUUUGUUAAUCAAAUAGACUGCUGAAGAGAAUAUUUCUGGCCAAUACUCAUGAGGGAUACCUGAUUUUAUGAGCAAACACCUUCCAACCUCAAUUAUUUGUCUAUGUCUCCUUUUUACAAGUCCAUUCUGUUUUGGAGUGUAUGGACAUGACAUUCUAUGACCAAUUCCCAUUUUCUCUAAGUAUUCUCUGAAUCUAAUGUUCACAAAUUCUCCUCCCUGAUCUGUUUGUACUUCUCCUAUUUUUAAAUCAAAAAAUCUCUCUACUUGUACAUGAAACUUCAGAAAGACUGAUGUAAAAACUGAUUUAUUAAUGAUUGGAUAAAACCAAUUAAAUCUAGUACAUUCAUCAACAAUUGAUAUGUAAAAUCUAUAGUUAUUUACAGAUGUAGUUGGAGAUGGACCCCAAGGAUCUAUAUGUAAAACUUGCAGUGGUUGAGUAGCUAAAUUCUCCCUUCUUUUAUAAGGUAGCUGAUGUGCCUUUCCCAAAGGACAGACUGAACAGAAUGGAUUCUUCUUUUUUUUGCUGGGUUCUAUCAUUAAUUCUGAGGAUAAUUGAUUUAAAACUGUAUCAGAAGGGUGUCCCAGCAUUUCAUGCCAUUUUUCCUUAGUAACCCUUACUCCAUAACAUGCUUGCAUAUCUAAGUAUAGAGGAUAUAGACCUUCUUUACUAAUGCCAGAAAAUAAUAUCUCCAUAGUUUCCCGGUCCUUAAUCAAAAAAUUCAUAUUGUUAAAAAUCACCAAACAAUUUAAAUCUCUAGAGAGUUUUUGUAUAGACAAUAGAUUUUUCUGUAAACCCUGGCACACAUAAUACUCCCUCUAAAAUAAAAUUUUCCCUCCUGAUUUUAAGUUAUUCUCCCUCUAUAAGUGACAGGUAAAUGCUCGCCACUACCUAGCUACCACUACAUAUUGAUUACCUGGAGAUGCUUCAUAUGUUGAAAAAGCUCCUAUAUCUGAUGUCAUGUGGCUGGAUGCUCCUGAAUCCAGGCACCAGAAAUUAUCAUUUUGUGGGGCUGCUGCUGACAUUGCUGAUUCUAGCUGUCCAUAACUCUCAUGAGGACCUUCUGAUGACUGUAUUGGAGCUACGGUUGUAGUGAAAGCUGAAUAGUUGGCUAUGUCUGAGCAUUGUUUUGCCAAAUGUCCCUUUUUAUGACAUAUUUGGCAAUUUUGGGACUGAUCUAAUGAAGAGGGUGUUGAAAUCAUAGGUUGUAGCUUGGUUUUUGGUUGAUUUAAUUGGUACUGACUGGGCAUUGUUUGAUUAGGUGGUUGAUAAUGAUUUUGGGGUGAUUGAUGAUAAUUUUGAGGUGGUGGUGGUUGAUAAUUGUAUUGAUUUUGGUGAGAAGCCUGAUAAGGUCUGUAUCCUAGUCGAGUUUGUGACUGGUAGGGUGGAGGUGGGCUGUUGUAAUAGUGUCCUCUGUACUAAUUUUGUUGAUAAUAGUUUUGUGGUUGGUAAGGUGGAGGUUGGUUGUAAUUUUGAUAACUUGGGUUAUAUUGUCCUCUAUUCUGAUUGUUGUAAUUCUGGUUAUUGUAUGGUCUUCCUCUACCAUAAUUCCCUCUAUAUUGAGAAGCCAUGGCAAUGUUUACUUGAUUUUCAUCAUUGAUUUUCUUUACUAGCAGUUCUUCACCAAGUAGUAGAUCAGUCAGUUCAUCAAAAGAAAUUACUCCCCUGCUCCUCACAGUAGUUAGUAAACAUCUGUAUUCUGAGUUCAAACCUCCCAGAAUAUAAUCUUUCAAACAUGUUUCAGUUAGAGUCUCUCCUGUGUAUGAUAAGGACUCCACCAGUCCUUUAACUCUAACUAUAUAAUCCUGCAUUGAUUCAGUACCUAAUUUCUUUAGGGUUCUUAACUGUUCCUUGAUUACAGUUACCUGUGUAUUGCUUACUGGUGAUAAAAUUUUCUCCAGAUGUAUCCACCCUUUAUAAGCUGAUUUACAUUUAAGUAGCAUAAGCUGGUACUGAUCAAUUUGCUACUGUAACUUUAAUCCAUCCCAAGAUUAAAUCAUCAUCUGCCAUCCAAGUUUCAUAUGCAGGAUUAUCCCUUUUAUCUGCUAGUUUAGGACUUAGGCAGGAGCUAGUGCCAUUUAUAUACUUUAUAAAUUUGUGUGCUCUUAAAGCACGCUCAAAUUGAUUUCGCCACGAUAAAUAAUUUCCUCUCUCAAGCUUGUCUGGUACCAUUGAAAAAAUAUUAUAUGAGACGUGUCCCAUGUGUGUCUGAACUCGUGGUGUAUUAUCUAUUGGGGCAGAUGUAGCCAUGUCUACCUUUAACACAAGUUUCUGUAGAGAUUUAAUUUCACAAAGAGUUUAUUCAAAAGGAGGUAUCUAAUUCUAUAUGAUUUAUAUCCCAAGACUCCUUAGACAACUGAUACCAUGUGAAAAUUUGAGGUACGACAGAUCAUAUCUAUCUAUUAAAAUACAGAAUGAAACAUGAACAAUUUACAGUUUACAAGAUUAAUCUGAAAGUCAAGAAGUUAUUCUUAUAGAAUACAAAUUAGGAAAACAAUUGAUAGCAAACUAGGAAAACAAUUACAAACUAGGAAUUACUGAGUAUGAUUAUUACAAACUAGGAAAAACAGUUUAGACAUAAUUUAAUAACUAUUCAAUCGUUCGGAGAAGAAGCUCAAUUGAGCGAAGGUGACGAUUGAAUCAAAAGACAGAGUAAAAAUGAAUUUAAAAGUAUCUGAAAUUAUUGAAAGAUUACUAUGAUUAGAAAAAGAUUACCAAAGAGAGAAAUGAAGGAAUCAAAUUGCUAAGAGUGCGUGAACUGGGAAUGAUCAAAUUGAUUAAAAACUCACAACUUGAAAAACCGGAAUUGAAUGAAUUCCCUGAUUGCAGUAGUUGAUAAUAUAUUUCAUUGUAUCUUAAAAAUCAGUUGGAGUCAAUAACUGUUUAACUGAUAUUUUUUCUUUCUUUCUCUAAAUUGGUUAAUUUUGGAUUUCCCAAAUUAGUUGAGUUUGGGUGUCGGAUCCGGACCAUGAGCGGAUCCUAUUGUUGAUCCUAUUAUUUCUUUGAACUCUUUAUUAAGGAGGGAGCGGUUACGAAUCAGUUAGCAAAUAACUAGAUUAGUUAAACAAAUAAAUCCUAUAUAAAGAGACUAUGUAAGUAGGAAUAAGUAUUCAGUUUUCAAUACAUUCUAAUUAGGUUUAGUUUGUAAAAUGGUAUCAAGAGCAAUCGGAUCUUGUGAUCAAGAUUUUUCUUCCGCAAACUUUAUUUCCAAUGGAGCUUGACCAGACAACGACGCAACUCCGCCGACGACGGCAGCGUCACGUUCCAGCAAACUCCAGAUUUCUUCGCCGAUCGCGACUUCUUUGUUAAAAACUGUGCAGGAGGCGUCGCCAACAGCAAUGUGAGGUCUUCCCAGAGUUUGGAAGACUUCUGUCCGCCGGAGAGCAAGAUCGGACCUAGGGUUUUCCGCCUAGUCGGGAUUUGGGGAAGAACCGAAAUUAACUACCGGACGGAUUAUUGUAAAAGAGAGAAAAGAGGGGUGUAGUUGAAAAAUGGUUAAUCUUUUUAUGUAAUGAUUAACUUGUAAAAACUUAAGUGAGUAUUAAUUCUUAAUUACAUUUUAUUUAUACUAAUACAAGAUCAUUAACAGCAAUAACAAAAGUAACUAAUUAAUUAAUUAUUUUGGGCCGAAUCUUGAUUCAAUUCAAUUUAAAGUCCAACCCGAUUAGCUGUAAUAAUUCUGCACAAGUACACAAAAUAUUAGUAAUAUCAACCAGGUCCAUUUGACCUGAUUUAUUUUGUGUUAUUUGCAUAACAGUCCUCAAGUUAAUUAUAACUGAAUAAUUGAAACUUUUACGUUUUAAUCCUUGUAUUUCUGAAUCUCAGUUAUACAGCGAAAAACCUUUAGUUUCUUUUAAUUGCACUUAGGUCCAAUUAACGUUUAUUGAAACUUUUAUAAAAGAGACCCUGUUGGUUUAUAACAAAACAGUUAAUCCUGUUUUGUCAUAACCCUUGGGUUAUUUAUAUUACACUUAAGUCCUAAGAUUGUUCUUAUGGUAAAUUGCUUAUUUACCCUGUGUUUCAGUUAUAUUCUUAUACUCCCCCCUCAAGCCUUGGAAUAGGCAUUGUGAAUUCCAAGCUUGACAGAGAAUGCUGAAAUUUCGUUUUCACCUAAUGAUUUGGUGAAUAUAUCUGCUAGUUGGUAUUUGGUGCCAACUUGCUUUAAUUGGAUUAUCCCUUUUUCUAUCAUCUGCCUUAUUGAGUGGCAAGAGAUUUCUAUAUGUUUACUUCUCUCAUGAAAUACUGGAUUGUUAGCCAAGUAUAUGGCUGACUUGUUAUCACAGUAUAAUGAGGUGGGUUUUUUAAUUUUUAGUUUUAGAUCUUUAAAAAGCUGUUGAAGCCAUAAUAUUUCACAUUGGGCUUUGCUGAUGGCCCUAUAUUCAGCUUCACAAGAUGAUAGCGAAACAGUGUCCUGUUUCUUUGAUUUCCAGGAAAUCAAUGAUGUCCCUAAGAACAUGCAAUAUCCUGAUAGUGAUUUCCUACUGAUUUGGCAAGAGGCCCAAUCUGAAUCACAAUAACCAUGAAGAUCCAUUUGAUUUUGGUUCUUGUAUAGUAUUCCCUGUCCAGGAGCAUUUUUAAGGUAUCUUAUUACUUUGAAUAAUACUUGGAGGUGAACCUCAUUUGGGCUUCCCAUGAACUGGCUUAACCAGUGGACAGAAAAUGUUAGAUCAGGUCUAGUGAUAUUUAGGUAUAUUAGUUUACCCACUAGUGAUCUAUAGAAGGUUGGGUCUUCUAAAACCUUAGCCUUUUCAUUUCUUAAGUUUACAUGUCUUUCCAUUGGAAUUUUAGAUGGCUUUGCAUCCAUGAGGCCACUUUCUUCUAGGAUGCCUAGUGCAUACUUUCUUUGAGAUAAGUAUAUGCCAUCUGAUGGAUAUGAGACUUCAAUCCCUAAGAAAUAGGAUAGUUUUCCUAAAUCCUUGAUUUUAAAAUUUUUUUCAAUAUUUUUCUUUAUUAGAAAAAUUUCUGUUUCAUUGUUUCCUGUGAUAAUAAUAUCAUCCACAUAUACUAACAAGUAUAUUAUGUUUUCAUUAUUGUUUCUAACAAACAAUGAAUAAUCAGAUUGUGUUUGUAAGAAAUUCAUUUCAAGAAGUACUCCUUUUAGUUUAGCAAACCAGUUUCUAGAGGCUUGCUUUAAACCAUAUAAGGAUUUGUUUAACUUGCAAACCCUCUUAUCUCCUUCAUUGAGGAGUCCUUGUGGAGGUUUGAGAUAUACCUCUUCAUGAAGAUCUCCAUGGAGGAAGGCAUUGUUCACAUCUAAUUGAUAGAUGUCCCAUCUUUUAAUUGCUGAAAUUGCAAUUAUUGUUCUAAUUGUAGUCAUUUUUACUACUGGGGCAAAGGUUUCAUGAUAGUCAAAACCUUCUUUUUGAGUGAAACCCUUAGCUACAAGUCUAGCCUUGUAUCUUUCUAUUUGACCAUUAGGUUUGUAUUUAACUUUGUAAAUCCAUUUGGAUCCUACAACUUUCUUAUUAUGAAGAAGUGUAGUCAAGGACCAAGUUUUAUUUGAGUGGAGUGCCUCCAUCUCUUUAUUCAUUGCUUCUACCCAUUUUGGGUUUUUAGAAGCUUCUGAAUAUGUUUUGGGUUCAUCUAUUAUUGAUAUUUGAUUUAGCAAAAUUUUAUGUUUUUUGUUUAUUUUGUUGUAUGAAACUUGAUUGCAAAUUGGGUAUUUGCCCUUUUUAUUUUUUCCAUAUCCACUAUCAUUUUCAAGAAAGAAAUCCUUAUAUGCUUUGGGAAUAUGUAUUACCCUUCCUAUUUUUGUUGUUUUGGUUUUAUCAAAUUCCAGGGUUUUUUCUGAAAUUGUGCAAGGAACAUCUUGAUUUUGUCCAAAAUGUUCUCUUGAAUCUUCAGGAAUGUAAAUUCUUCCUGUUUGUGUUCUUUUAUCUGUAUUCUGAAAAUUUUCAGAAAUGAUGCUAUUUUGAAGAUUUUCAGAUUCAUCAUUAAUCUGAAAAUUUUCAGUAUUUUUUGAACUUUGUUGGCUAUCAUUGGGCUCAACAAUGUUUUUUGAAUUGUUUUUACUCAUUGUGAUACUUUCUUUGUGUUUAUUCACAAUUGUAUCUGAGUUUUCUAUUCUAGAUUGCUCUAGAUUUUGUUGAUCUUCAUUUGAUCUUUUUUUUGAAUUUUUGUCAUUGUUUUGGUUUUUUUCUUGUGAUUCGUUAUUUUUGUGUGAAUGAGUGUUUUCUGUUUUGUUUCUAUCUUGAUUAUGAUUUUUAAAAUCAUACCAAGUCUUGUUUGAAUCAUCAUGGAAUAAAAAAGCAUUUUUAUAAAAAUUUUGAAAAUUGAUGAAUUCUUCAUCAUUUUCUGAAAUUAUGCUAUCUUUGAAUGGGAAUAUAGUCUCCCUAAAAGAAACAUGUCUAGAUAUGAAUAUCUUCAUAUCAGAAAUUCUUAGUAUUAGAUACCCUUUUACUCCUUUUGGAUAUCCUAAAAAAAUACCUUGAAAGGCAUAAUUGAUUUGUUGAGGCAUAACACAAACAACCAAAAGACCUUAAAUUCUCAUAAUCUGGAAUUUUUCAUGAAUGAUCUCAUAAGGUGUUUUAUUAUCUAUACAUUUUGCAGGAAUUCUAUUGAUUAAAUGGGCUGCAGUCAAUAUGCAUUCUCCCCAAAAUUGUAAUGGAAUGUUUCCUUGGAAAUGUAGAGCUCUUGCUAUGUUUAGUAAGUGCCUAUGCUUUCUCUCAACUCUUGCAUUUUGGGCAGGAGUAUAAGGGCAUGAGAAUUGCUGAAUUAUUCCAUGUUUCUCAACCAUUCUCUUAAAAUUAUUUGAGGUGAACUCACCUCCAUUAUCACUCCUAAUUAUUUUAAUUUUGGUGUUGUAUUGGUUUUUUACCAUUUUAUAAAAACUUUCAAUGCAAUCUAUUGUCAUUGAUUUGUUUUUGAUUAAAUAUAUCCAAGUGCCUCUACUUAAGUCUUCUACUAUGGUUAGGAAGUAGCUAAACCCAUCAUGUGUCAUAAUUGGGAAUUUUCCCCAUAUAUCUACAUGAAUGAGUUCAAAAUUUUUUUUAGACUUUGAGGUACUAAUGGCAAAUUUAAGCUUUGCCUGUUUUGCAAGUGGGCAUACUCCACAAUUAUAUUGAAUGAUCUUAAUGUCAUCUAUAAUAGAUUUUUGUUUAAGAGAAAUCAAAUUUUUAUUGAAGAAAAUAUUUCCAUCCAAAACAUCAUCUUUAUUCAACAUAUCAUUCUUAUCAUUCAAUACAAUAUUUUUAUUCAAAUCAAAUUCAUAUUCACUUUAUUUCCAAUGGAGCUUGACCAGACAACGACGCAACUCCGCCGACGACGGCAGCGUCACGUUCCAACAAACUCCAGAUUUCUUCGCCGAUCGCGACUUCUUCCACGACGGGUCAUCUGCGAUCGCAAUUUCCAGGUCAUCCACGAGGUCUUCUAUGAUCGCAACUUCUCCAACGACGUUCCGUGAAGUCUGCACUAUCCGCAUCACAUCAUCCGAAUUUCUCCACGCUCGCCACUCCAUCCGCGUCUCUUGCGGAUUCAUCUUCUUGAUUUGGAUACUUGCGAUCUCUGCACAUUCGCAAUUUUGCACUCUUCAAGUUCUCAACGCACCUGUCACAAUGCGAUUUGCAGUCGUCGAUUCCUGCCGCAACACGUUCAUCACAACGCGACUUCGGCAUGUUCGAUUCCUACGAUCUGCAAUUUCCUGUGUCCCACUCAGAAGGUGUCCGAGUCAACCGGCUCCUCGUCCGAUUCGUCCGGCAUGUGUUGCAUUGUGGAGAAAAGUCUGGUUUCCGCGUCUGCUAUCACGAUUUUGGAUUUCACCUCUGCGUUCGGUGACGCGAUCUGCAGUCUGAUUUCCACGUCUGCUAUCGCGAUUUUGGAUUUCACCUCUGCAUCCGGUGACGCGAUCUGCAGUUUGGUUUUUGAUUUCUGCAUUUGCGUUCUCUCAAUCUGCUUUUUUGGAGUUUGCGUAUCAGUCACGCACGCGUCUCUGCAUUUUGGAUUUUGCGUACCAGAUUUUGGAUUCACGCAUUUACAGCUGGUCACGCACUUACAGCUGUUCACGAUAUUGCAGUUGGGAUCGAUUCCUGCAUUUGUCGCCGAUUUGCGUUCAUAUUGCAUUUGCGUUCAUCUUGCAAUCUGUGUCGUCUUGAUUUCUCGCCGAUCAUUCAAAUCUCUUCGCGAUCUUCGUCUUGAAAUUAUUCUCUGCCGAACACGCAACUAAUUUCACCAACGAUCACUGCGUUUUCUUGCUCCGACGUCCAUGGCUUUCCGCGGCGAAGUCACACCCGGCUCGGCAACGACACAUGCAAAGAUCGUCAAGCUCAAGCAUCAAUGCGUUGAGUGACUCUCUGGUAGGAAUUUCUUUGUUUGGCAAGCCCAAGUCCUCACCUUCCUGUAUGGAUAUGGAUUACUAGCAUACGUUACCAGCGACAUCAACAUCAACGGUGACGAACUAAAAACGCAACAGGACCAAUUGAUCCUCGGAUGGCUCUUCUCAAUACUGCAGGUAGAUGUCCUAUCGCAAGUGGCAAGCGCAAUAACGUCGGCGAAGGCGUGGGAGCAGCUGAGCCAAAUUCACGCAUCAACUUCCGAAACGCGGGUUUUGCAGCUACGGCACCAAUUACAAAUCCUCAAGAAAGGGGAUUUGGUAAUGGAGGCUUUUAUUUCAAAGGUAGUAGGGCUCGUCGAAUGCAUGCGUACGGUAGGACUAUCAGUAACCGACUCGGAGAUGAUCUUGUACGUACUGGCCGGAUUAAACACGGACUAUGAGGCGAUUGUCGCCGUAAUCUCCUCCCAACUUGAGAAAAUGACUGUGCCAACAAUGAGAAUGUUACUAACAAAUCAAGAAAUCAGAAAUUCAAAUAAUAGAGCCUUGAUUUCAGAAAUGGCUGAGGUUAAUAUGAUUAAGCAUCGAGGAGAAAGAGGAAAUCGACCAGUCUGCCAAAUUUGUACUAAAAAAGGGCAUGUAGCACUAACAUACUGCAAUCGUCAUAAUCCAACACCACCAGAACACAGGACCCGGCAAUUGCAAAAUCAAAAGAAAAAAGCUCUGAAUGCAGUAUGGACACCGGCGCAAGCAACUCUGGCGCAGGUCAAUGUUCUUUGGAACCCCGAUACUGCAGCCACGGGUCAUGUAUCAGGUACGGAAAAAAUAUUACAUCAUUCUAUAACUGCCAAGAACCACUCGGGUAUAGUCGUUGCGAACAGUACAACUGUUCCUGUAUCUACCACAGGUGACUCAAAAUUCUUAAAACAAGGGAUGGAGAUUUGCGUUGGAGAUAUUUCAAUUGUACCGUCAAUUUUCAGUACUCUCGGUUUAUCGUUUGUAUAACAACAAUAAUAUUGGUUGUUGGAUUGAUAAAUCCUCUGUGGCUAUGAUUGACUUGCAGACUAAAGAGGUCCUGGCACGAGGGAGAGUCUCCGGAGGGAUGUAUGAACUGAACCUGGGGACAUCGGAAAGGAAGCAUGAAGUCAAUGCAGUAGGCAACAUACCGAUAACUCUCUGGCACUAUCGUUUUGGUCACAUCCCAGAGAAGUUAACUAAGUCAAUUGUCAAAAAAUUCCAAUUGGGUGUAUCACAUUUAAAUAAAGAAAUUCCUUCUUGUGACUCAUGUAUAAUGGCAAAACACCACCGUCUCCCCUCCAGAAAACUCUGCUAAACAGAUUCUAGACAUAGUGUAUGCUGACCUAUGAGGCCCAGCACCAGAGACCUCAAUUGAAGGACACUAUUAUUUUCUAAACUUUGUGGAUGGUUACUCUCGUUAUAAUUGGUUAUUUCCUUUGGUGUGUAAAUCUGACGCCCAGAAAGUGUUUAAACUGUUUAAAAUAUUUGUCGAAAAACAAAAAGGGAAAACCCUGAAAGCUCUCUAGACUGACAACGGAGGCGAAUUUCGAGCGUUCAAACCAUUCCUUCAAGAAUGUGGUAUUGCACACUGCCUAUCCUGCCCAUAUGCACAUACUCAGAUGGGUAUGGUUGAAAGGCGUCAUCGGCAUAUAGUCAACAUUGGCCUAGCACUCCUACAUCACGGCCAGAUCCCACUCCGGUUCUGGGAAUUUGCAUUCGCAACAACUGCUUUCUUAUACAAUAGAACCCCGCCACCGAUUCUUGAUGGGGAAUCACCAUUUCAAAGGUUAUUUCAGGUAUCAUCUUCAUACAACGAUCUUCGGGUAUUUGGGUGUCAAAUAUAUCCAAAUCAAAGGCCCGUCAGAAAGAACAAAUUCACAUACAGAUCUAACCCACAUAUAUUCCUUGGCUACCCGAACAACCAUCGAGGGUAUCUUUGUUAUGAUCCAGCUACCGGGAAAUUUAUAAUAUCACGCGAUUGUGUAUUUCAUGAAACUGACUUUACACUUAACGCAAGUUUAAUAGAAGCAAACAAUGACAUGCCUACAAGUGAUCGAGGAUUCGGCCAUCCAGAAAUCGUUGACUCGAGGAAUAUUGAUGAAAUUCCAACAACUUCUGAGUCUGGAAGUGAAUCAAUCUCACAUAACGACGAAAUUGUUCAACACGAUACUACUCCAUCACAACAGCAACAAAGAAUAAUUACAAGGGAAAAACGAGGAAUUCGCAAACCAAAUCCAAAAUACGUCUGCAUGAUCUUCGCACCUCUAUCAGUUCCAACAGGCGCCUCCUCGGCACUACUAGAUCCUAACUGGACAAAGGCCAUGACAGAGGAAUUCGAGGCACUACUAGCAAACGACACCUGAGAACUAGUGUCUAGUACCACGACUACCAAAGUACAAUGUGUUAAGCUGUAAAUGGAUCUUUAAAAAUAAAAUCAGACGGCACCCUAGAGCGUCAGAAAGCAUGGUUAGUUGCAAACGGGUUUCGCCAACGAGACGGUAUAGAUUAUGUAAAACAUUUGUCCCGGUGGUAAAACAGGUAACUAUUCGAGUGAUUCUAUCAUUAGCAGUUGCAAACAAAUGGCAAGUCACUCAAUUAGAUGUAUCAAAUUCAUUCCUACACGACAUACUAGAAGAAGAAGUCUUCAUGCGUCAAGUCCCGGACUUCACAAAAAAAGAAUUCCCGGACCAUGUAUGCAGACUCAAGCGAUCGCUAUACGGGUUAAAACAAUCAUCACGUGCAGUGUUUGUUAGACUCAGAACCGUAUUGCUUCAGCUUGGCUUCUCUGAGAGUACAUGUGACCACUCACUAUUCAUGUUUCGUCAAGGAGAUAUACAAGCAUGGCUGAUUGUUUAUGUCGAUGACAUAAUAUUCACAAGCUCCUCAACGAAAUUUAUAAAAGACACGAUUGAAUCUCUACAGAAACAUUUUCCAAUGAAGAACUUGGUGCAACUACACCAAUUUCUAGGAGUUCAGUGUAAUUGGGUAGACGACGACUCUCUAUAUUUAUCUCAACAUCAAUACGCAAGGAUGAUUCUAGAGAAGUGCGAACUGGACACUUCAAAACCAGCCCACAUAGCCAUGGAUAACCGGGUCAGGCUAUAUGAUGAAGCCGCUCCAUUCAAGUCACCAACUCUGUUCCGUCAACUGAUUGGAAGCUUACAAUAUCUGACUAUUACACGCCCUGACAUAUCAUUUUCGGUAAAUAAAAUUGCACAAUUUAUGCAAACACCAUCAACUGUACACUGGAUGGUUCUAAAAAGAAUCCUUCGCUACAUUGCCAGGACAAUCUUCCAUGGGAUCCACAUCAAACACUCGGGAACAUCUAAACUAGUAGCUUUCUCUGAUGCCGAUUGGGCAGGAGACAAGCACGAUAGUCGGAGUCAGGGGGCGUAUGUUGUGUUCUUUGGUCCUAAUUUAAUAUCAUGGCGAUCCAGAAAGCAAAGCAUGGUAGCUCGCUCCAUAACCGAAGCAGAGUAUCGAAGUGUCACAGACACAACAACAGAAAUGGACUGGAUCAGAGAGCUACUAAAGGAUUUGGGUAUACAAGUUCCAAUACCAGCAAAAAUUUGGUGUGACAACUCCGGAGCAAUAGUCAUUUCAAAAAAUCCAUCGCACCACAUGAAGUUCAAGCACUUCGCUAUGAACUACCACUUUGUUCGAGAACGGAUGUUCGCUAAAAUACUCGAAGUUCGGUUCAUCGGGUCAAAAAAUCAGAUAGCAUAUCUCCUCAACAAGCCACUUUCACGACAACCGUUCGAGACAUUACGUGUCAAGCUUACCGAAAAACUUCUGUUACGCUCGAGGGGGCAUAUUAAGGAGGGAGCAGUUACGAUAGCAAAUAACUAGAUUAGUUAAACAAAUAAAUCCUAUAUAAAGAGACUAUGUAAGUAGGAAUAAGUAUUCAGUUUUCAAUACAAUCUAACUAGGUUUAGUUUGUAAAACUCUUUUGAUUGUUUCACAGACACCACUCUCCACAAGGUCAAGAAGUAGACACUUGAUUCAAUCAUCUCCCGUCUGUAGGUUCUUAUUUCUAUUUCAGAUCAUUACCUAUAAUUUUUGUUUCAAAUCAGAUCUCGUUAUCCAAAUCAUCACCUUCUUCGGUUUAUUAAAAUUUCAUUACCUAUAAUUUUUGUUUCAAAUCAGAUCUCGUUAUCCAAAUCAUGACCUUGUUCGGUUUAUUAAAAUUUGAAACAAUUAUAAUCAUGCAUGGCCUUCUUCAGACAAUCUACCUUCUCCAAACAUUAAAAUAGCUAGACCUUUAGUGAUUUGAUCGGUGACAGUAAUUUGAAAUAUGAUUUUACCCAUAGCAAUUGAUUGAUUAUCUUGUCUAUUUAUAUUUUCAAAUCG
RNAcentral lists this long non-coding RNA (14908 nucleotides) under Zostera marina. RNAcentral's name for it is "long non-coding RNA (ZMAR_LNC001869)". The record is from RNAcentral. Lineage: Eukaryota; Viridiplantae; Streptophyta; Magnoliopsida; Alismatales; Zosteraceae.